CUGUUUUGAUCCCUUUUUCUGCAGCUUGACAUAUAGGUCAGGGUAUGUGUGUGUGCAGCAGCUCCAGAGGGACGAACGUCAAGGUAGCCACUGCUCCGUAGCUGGUCUGGGAUAUGAGUACGGCCCUUGAUUCGUGCCGCCUGUUUUCUCUGCCGAAGUCGUGGUUGCGUGGAUGUGGCAAUGGUCGAAGGGUCGUCACCAGGGUGGCACCGGCGCCUCCCUUCCCUCUCCCCUAGAUCUGGAAGGUACCGUCUCGGGCUUCCCAGAUCUGUUGGAUCAAAAAUUGUGGGUGAUGGAAUCAAAAUUUGUUGGAUCAGAAAUUGCGGUUGAUGGAAUUAAAACUUGGAUGUGAUCAAAUUAGAGAGGACAUGGCGUACUGAUUACUGAAAGGAAUCUGUGAGUUCCUGCAAGAUGCAUCUCCAACAUUUCUUGUGCAGGAACCUGCUAUUGAGUUGUUUUACUGGCUUAAUUUGGUCUCUCUGCAGCAUCCAGCAGCUCUGUAUCUGAAGAUUGUCACCAUUUCUAUAUACUAUGUACUUGUCGCUAUGUAAUAAAACUAUACAUCUAGCCGCUGCCCACGGGAUAUUCCCAGUCACCAAUCUUGGUUAUGCUCGAAUUAUGCACCAGAUAUUCCCAGUCACCAAUCUUGGUUAUCUUUCUCCUGGAACCGUUGUUAUGAACCAAUCAACUCUUUGAGAAUUAAAGAUUUGGUAGUAGCCAUCAACCAUCAUGUCUUCUGGCCUGCAGUUUGCCAACCUCGCCUGUUCGAACUUCGAACCCAAGACGCCACUGCUUCUUCUAGGUCCCGCAGCUUGAUCCCGCCAAGAGCAGGCUGGAGGAGGAAGCAGAGAGGGAGAUGGGAGAGGGAGAGGAGAUCUCGGCCUGCACACUGCACCUCGCGUCUCCCACAAGCUACAACAACAGGAGAACCGUAUACACAGCAUCCUUCUCAAAGCCUGCAGCUACUGCCUCCCCAAGCAAUGCCAACCUGCAGCAACAAGGCACCUGUUUCAUAUAAUUAUAGUUGCAACUAAUAAGGUCGUCAAUUUUACUGAGGUCCAUAAGAUAAUAAUAUCUCCAUUAAGAUGUGCAAUGAAACAUCGAAGAGGCUUACAUCCUUGUGAUUCCUCAUGACUCGGAAGGAGGAGCACGGGCCGUAGAGACGGAAGAGGAGGUUGAGACAGUCACGGCGCCUGCUGCAAUGACCACGGCCACUACAUGAAAAGAAAGACAACAAAAUCUAUUAGGCCUACUCAUGCUGGAUUGGGCUCAGCCCGAUUACAAAACAGUAGCAAAUGAGAGGAAUACAAGAAGUCAAGAAGACCCUUCUCUCCAUGUCUUAAGUUUCACACUACCUCGCCUGGAUCCGGAACUGCGGCUACAGUGACCUCAACAUAGUCUAGGUAGACACCCAGUGGUUAAGACUGUGUAGUGAGCCAUGCCUUUGUGAGAGGACCAAGAAAAGAAAGGCAUGUUGUACCUACCCUACAUUGACAGUCAUUAUUAGCCCAUUGUGGUACUUCAAAUCUGAUAAAGAAUAUAUUUCAUGUCUGAGACAUGAGAUUUGGAGUCUCGGUUCUGAUAUGUACGGACCUCCUUUUAUUUUGUCAUGUUGCUGAUAAUUCUGAUAUGGGACUAUUUGUUCUGUUUAUGUCUUAGAAAUAAUGAAAUGGCCUGUAUGUUAAGUUAUCUUAUUUUAAUUAUAUUAUGUUGUUGAUGAUGUA
This is a long non-coding RNA of Triticum dicoccoides, 1724 nucleotides long. RefSeq lists it as uncharacterized. The transcript has 11 exons. The record is from RefSeq and is a predicted model, not a curated record. NCBI's taxonomy places the organism in Eukaryota, Viridiplantae, Streptophyta, Magnoliopsida, Poales, Poaceae.